RNAcentral lists this unclassified non-coding RNA (386 nucleotides) under soil metagenome. RNAcentral describes it as "partial contains 5.8S ribosomal RNA, internal transcribed spacer 2, and large subunit ribosomal RNA". The stretch from base 1 to 120 matches the Rfam family "5.8S ribosomal RNA", at positions 35 to 154 of the family's 154-position model. The record is from RNAcentral.
GAUGAAGAACGCAGCGAAAUGCGAUAAGUAAUGUGAAUUGCAGAAUUCAGUGAAUCAUCGAAUCUUUGAACGCACCUUGCGCUCCUUGGUAUUCCGAGGAGCAUGCCUGUUUGAGUGUCAUGAAAUUCUCAACCUUUUCAGCUUUCUUUGUUGAUCAGGCUUGGAUGUGGGAGUAUGCGGGCUUCUCAGAAGUCGGCUCUCCUGAAAUGCAUUAGCGGGACCUUUGUUGCCUGGCUUUGGUGUGAUAAUUAUCUACGCCAUUGUAGUCAAGCAGCUUAAAAUGAGGUUUCAGCUUCUAACCGUCUCCCCUGAGACAACUUUUUGACAAUUUGACCUCAAAUCAGGUAGGACUACCCGCUGAACUUAAGCAUAUCAUAAGCGGAGGA